Molecule: long non-coding RNA, 1675 nt
Filed under: Brassica napus (rape)
Lineage: Eukaryota; Viridiplantae; Streptophyta; Magnoliopsida; Brassicales; Brassicaceae
Description: long non-coding RNA (BNAP_LNC021444)
Source: RNAcentral
UCAAUCUGAAUUAUGUGUGAUCCUUUAUCCAUGAGUUCUGGGUAAAACUGACGGUCCCACGCGCUGAACAGUGAGUUUGUUGCAUACAAUCGUUUACCAUCAAGGCUCAGCUGGAUCAUCUGAGGUCCUGCUCGUAGAGAUUUCCCCUACAAAUACCGAGAUAUUAAAGAAAAAAGUGCUCCCAAAUGAAUGUUUAUUUUUGUAAGUAAAACAAACCUUGAUCUGAGGAACAUCAAACUGGUAAGUGGUACCAUCUUCUCUAACAGCCUUUACAGGGCUGCCUUUUUGUAGUAAUCCGCCCACCCAAAUUUGACCAGUUAAGACAGGGUUUUUAGGGUCUUCAAUGUUGUACUGACGAAUGUCUCCAUGAAGCCAGUUCACAAAGUAGAAAAACCGAUCAUCGAGGGAGAUCAAGAAGUCGGUGAUAAGCCCCGGCAUUUCUGGAAGAAUCCAGUUCUCUACUUUCAGUGGUUCAACUGAUAUAACCACCUACCGAAAAAAUCAAUUUAAGGGUUAAUCAUAGCUUUGAAGAACCAAAGUAAAAAAAAGAGGUUAUGAAGAUAAUUCAGAAACUCGCUGCAAAGAAAAGACGAAAUGUGUCGUUUUAUGUAACCUUCUCAUCUAUUUACAUUCUAGCAAGAAACCAAAAUUGCAUCAGCUUCUCCGUAGCUUUAACCCCCUUCAUUCUCAUAAAUGUGAUCUUGUUACGGAAUCACUUGUCAAACAACUUCUUAAUCACCGGUAAAGGCAUCAACUUAUCACCAUGUAUUACUUUGUUAUGUUCUCUCCAUACUGCAUACAAGACUGUCUGAAAUGCAUAUCUAAUACAAAACAGACUCAUCUUCUCCCUUGUUUCAUCCGAAAUGAUUAGAAAAAUCUCAGACUCACUUUUUUUCUUAUGUGGACUCCAAAUACAAAUCUGAUUCUGUUUGUAAUCAUUUUCUUUCAAAAAUAACUCUGUUUUAGUUUCUUAUGAAUAUUGCGCCUACCCACCUUAUAGAGUUUUAAGGGAAUGUUCAAGGUUUGCACAACAUAACAUACUCUAUAUGCUUAAGCAGUUACUAAACCAUCUUUGGGUCAGGAAGUCUAGGCUCUAGAUAAAGAUUAACUCUAUUUUGCUACUUUUCUUCACUCAUUUGGUAUUUAAAUCUUGCACCACUGGUAAUGCUCAAACCUCAAAAGAAAGGGACACAAUAUAAGUAGGAGGUUAUAAUAUCACGGCUUAUUUAUUACACUCUGGAAAACAUAACAAUGAGUCAAACCCAAUUUUACUCUUUUUUAGGGGUCCAAUUCAAAUCCAGAUAUCAGAUGUGCAGUCUCCGCCGGGAUAUCUCAUCUCAUGGGCAAGCGCAGGACCAUCGGGUUCUUCACCAAAGUCCACAAAGAAAUCAGGGUUUAUUGAGAGACCACCUUUCUCUGUAUCAACAUCAAUCUGAAUUAUGUGUGAUCCUUUAUCCAUGAGUUCUGGGUAAAACUGACGGUCCCACGCGCUGAACAGUGAGUUUGUUGCAUACAAUCGUUUACCAUCAAGGCUCAGCUGGAUCAUCUGAGGUCCUGCUCGUAGAGAUUUCCCCUACAAAUACCGAGAUAUUAAAGAAAAAAGUGCUCCCAAAUGAAUGUUUAUUUUUGUAAGUAAAACAAACCUUGAUCUGAGGAACAUCAAACUGGUAAGUGG